This 485-nucleotide ribosomal RNA is filed under the name uncultured bacterium. RNAcentral's name for it is "partial 16S ribosomal RNA". It matches the Rfam family "Bacterial small subunit ribosomal RNA", at positions 28 to 507 of the family's 1533-position model. The record is from RNAcentral.
GAUGAACGCUAGCGACAGGCUUAACACAUGCAAGUCGAGGGGCAGCACGGGUAGCAAUACCGGGUGGCGACCGGCGCACGGGUGAGUAACGCGUAUGCAACUUACCUAUCAGAGGGGGAUAACCCGGCGAAAGUCGGACUAAUACCGCAUGAAGCAGGGGUCCCGCAUGGGGAUAUUUGCUAAAGAUUCAUCGCUGAUAGAUAGGCAUGCGUUCCAUUAGGCAGUUGGCGGGGUAACGGCCCACCAAACCGACGAUGGAUAGGGGUUCUGAGAGGAAGGUCCCCCACAUUGGUACUGAGACACGGACCAAACUCCUACGGGAGGCAGCAGUGAGGAAUAUUGAUCAAUGGCCGAGAGGCUGAACCAGCCAAGUCGCGUGAGGGAUGAAGGUUCUAUGGAUCGUAAACCUCUUUUAUAAGGGAAUAAAGUGCGGGACGUGUCCCGUUUUGUAUGUACCUUAUGAAUAAGGAUCGGCUAACUCCGUG